GACAGAGGUGCCGAGCGUUAGGCGGAAUCACUGGGCUUAAAGCGUGUGUAGGCGGAUGCCUAAGUACCUUGUGAAAUCCCACGGCUUAACCGUGGAACUGCUUGGUAUACUGGGUGUCUUGAGCCACUUAGGGGCGACCGGAACAAACGGUGGAGCGGUGAAAUGCGUAGAUAUCGUUUGGAACGCCAAUGGUGAAAACAGGUCGCUGGGAGUGCACUGACGCUGAGACACGAAAGCCAGGGGAGCGAACGGG
Molecule: ribosomal RNA, 253 nt
Filed under: uncultured bacterium
Lineage: Bacteria
Description: partial 16S ribosomal RNA
Rfam family: Bacterial small subunit ribosomal RNA
Source: RNAcentral